Molecule: ribosomal RNA, 496 nt
Filed under: uncultured bacterium
Lineage: Bacteria
Description: partial 16S ribosomal RNA
Rfam family: Bacterial small subunit ribosomal RNA
Source: RNAcentral
AUGAACGCUGGCGGCGUGCCUAAUACCUGCAAGUCGAGCGAACAGAUGAGGAGCUUGCUCCUCUGACGUUAGCGGCGGACGGGUGAGUAACACGUGGAUAACCUACCUAUAAGACUGGGAUAACUUCGGGAAACCGGAGCUAAUACCGGAUAAUAUAUUGAACCGCAUGGUUCAAUAGUGAAAGGCGGUUUUGCUGUCACUUAUAGAUGGAUCCGCGCCGCAUUAGCUAGUUGGUAAGGUAACGGCUUACCAAGGCAACGAUGCGUAGCCGACCUGAGAGGGUGAUCGGCCACACUGGAACUGAGACACGGUCCAGACUCCUACGGGAGGCAGCAGUAGGGAAUCUUCCGCAAAGGGCGAAAGCCUGACGGAGCAACGCCGCGUGAGUGAUGAAGGUCUUCGGAUCGUAAAACUCUGUUAUUAGGGAAGAACAAAUGUGUAAGUAACUAUGCACGUCUUGACGGUACCUAAUCAGAAAGCCACGGCUAACUACGUG